AUGGCGGAGGAACCAUCUGCCAAGCGUCCUCGUGGUGAGACGUCCGACCAGAGCCCCGAGGUCGACGACGUUCAGGUCCCCGGUCAGAAGCACGACUACAAAGUGCACCUCAAGGAGGUUGACAUCCACGGCAAGGAAAAGCUGGAUGUCGUAUGCACCAGCAAUCCUGAGGAAGCCGACAAGAUGAUCAGCAGGAUCCUGAAGAGGGUCUGCAGCUUGUGCCCUCAGUACAUCGGUGUUGAUGUCGAGUAUACCAGGGAGGACGAACCUCCGCAGAGGGCAGCGGUUCUACAGUUAUGCGUGGAGGAACUCUGUUUGGUAUAUCACAUCACCGCGGCAACAAAAUGGCCCAAGAGCCUGCGCCCGUUCCUGAAGGAGGACAGGUUCUACACCUUUGCCGGCUUCAGUAUUGAAGGUGACAAAGAGAUGAUGCGAAGUUCUGGUUUGGAGAUCAACCCCGACAAGUACAUCGACAUCCAACGCAAAUGGAGAGUUCCUUUCAAGGGAAGAAAGAGGUACCACUCUUUGGCUGAUGUUGCAGGGAGCGUGAUCCACCCAUUCUACAAACAGAUGAAGGAUAAGAUUGAUAGGGUUGAAGACCAUAAACUGUGGGGGAUCAGACCACUGCCAAAUUACCUCAUUGAGUAUGCAGUGAUAGAUGCGUACGCCACCUACGAGUCAUGGAAGAGAAUUGAAAACAUCAGAGAAGGUCUGGAGAGUGCAAAAGAGGCAGAGAAGAAUUAUGACGAUCCUUACUACGGAUACUAG
Molecule: ribosomal RNA, 768 nt
Filed under: Triticum aestivum (bread wheat)
Lineage: Eukaryota; Viridiplantae; Streptophyta; Magnoliopsida; Poales; Poaceae
Description: partial small subunit ribosomal RNA
Source: RNAcentral